RNAcentral lists this long non-coding RNA (3811 nucleotides) under Gossypium barbadense (sea-island cotton). RNAcentral describes it as "long non-coding RNA (GBAR_LNC007295)". The record is from RNAcentral. Lineage: Eukaryota; Viridiplantae; Streptophyta; Magnoliopsida; Malvales; Malvaceae.
UUUACUGGUUUGCUCCUGUUUUCUUCUGGCUUUAUGUGGAUGUAACCUUGGCUUCAUUUUCUAUAAUACUGUGCUUGAGUUUUCCCGGGCUGGGCCGUUAACCGCGGCGCUGUUUUAUUUUCAUCUUGUGAGUGAUUCUUUAUGGUUCUCUUGGAUCGAUUCUUGCUACUCUGCUAGUGUUUAUGGUGUAGGACUGUAGGUAGGCGUGGCUGCUGUUGUGGGUGUGUUGUCGAAUUUUAGCGUGUCCAGGGUUCGUGGUUGGACGUGGUGCGGGCUUUAGCUCUUGACUGACUGAGCUAUGGCUGAGGACUGAAACGAACUAUUAGAAAAGUUAACCUUAUCUGAAGAAGAAUCGAAGUUAGUGUUUAGCUCUAAGCCUCUAGCCGAUUUUCAACAAACCCUAAAGAAUAUGAGGCUUGGGCAAUCUGAAAAAUAAUGUCGAAUGAAAGAAUAAACAAAGAGGCUAUGUACAGGGUCUUGAGAUCUCUUUGGUUCACAAAAGAAGAGGUAAACUUUCUGGAGUUAAGAGACAAAGUCAUCUUAGUUAAGUUUGGGGUCGUCGAAGAUAGAACAAGAAUCCUUAACCUUGCUCCAUGGCUCUUCGAUCAAUGUCUAUUUGCUCUAUUUCCGUAUGUAAAGGGCCAGGAGAUAGAAGAUUAUAUCUUCAACCUAACACCUUUUUGGAUAAGAAUAUACAAUAUACCAUUUGAUUAGAUGGAUAGACAAACGGCUUUAGAAGUGGGAGAAGCUAUUGGUGGGGAGAUGGCAAUUGAUUGGAGGGAUAGGGACGGUGGCUGGACUGAAUAUAUCAGAGAGAUCGUAAAAAUAGAUGUUUUAAAACCCCUAAGGAGAGUGGUCUAUCUUAUGGGACAGGGGGAUAUUGAAAUCGUUUGCGCUAUAAAAUACGAACAUCUUUCGACAUUUUGUUGUAAGUGCGGAAUCAUCGGUCAUAAAACACAAAAGUGCAACGAAAAAGGGGUCCAAACGGAGUCAGCCAAAAUAGAGCUCCAAUAUGGUAAUUAGCUUAGAGUGCAAGUAUGGGGAACAACCCAAGGGAAAGGAAACUGGAGGAAUGGUGUUGAAUUUUUAGAUGGCAGGCAGGGGAGCAACACUGAGACAAAAGUUAACAAGGAGAGAAGUGGUGAAGAAAACGAAACCAUGAGAGUAAUCAAAAAAAGAAAAAAACUAAGACAGGAGAGGAGGAGUCUGCAUCGAGCUCUCCUAUAGAAAAACGGCUAACUCGUGGCAUCCGUGAUGGAGGGGGAAGAAGUCGAAAUAAGGGAAAAAAGCUAAAGGAGGCAAUGGGGAAAAUCUCGAUUAUAGUCCAUUUCAUUUAGUGCGCAGGAAGCUCUUAGACAGCAUCUCACCUUGUAAGGCGGAGGUUGUAGGCCAGCCCCGCCAAGAGCAAUGAAGCUCCUAUGUUGGAACUGUUGUGGGCUUGGGAACCCUGCGACAGUUUGGUAAUUGAAGCAACUUCUCGUUGCGACCAACCCUGAUGUUAUUUUCUUUGCAAAACUAAGAUGCAUGCUAACAAUUUCUCUCUUGUUCGAAAUCAAUGUAGGAUGGAAGGAUGUAUGGCUGUUAAUGCUAUGGGAAAGAGUGGUGGUUUAGCUAUGAUGUGGAGGGAGGGUACCAAUGUUGAGAUCCAAAACUAUUAUCGCAAUCAUAUCGACUCUUUGGUCCAUAUGGAAAACCAAAAUCCCAUUCGUUUUACUGGCUUACCAAAGAAAAAGUUCUUGGGAUAUGCUUAGAAGGGUGGGAAGCUCUGUCAAGGAAACUUGGACUAUUAGUGGUGAAUUUAACGCCAUUCUUAACGAAGCAGAAAAGGAGGGUGGCCGAAGGAAAUCGAGAGCAUUAAUGGAUGACUUUCGAGAGGUAGUUGAGGAACUCUCUUUGGUUGAUUUAGGUUUACAUGGGUUAACAACCGUAAUGGGAAUGUCAUUGUUAAAGAGAGGCUCGACCGUUUCAUGAUUUCGGCUAACGAUGUUGCUAACUUCCCGUUCGUCGAAACUAAGUGGUGCAUCAGUCAAAGUCAGACCACGAUGCUAUUUUUUUAGAUAUCAUGGGGCGUAAGCCGAAUGAGUGCUCCAGAGACCCCAGACUUAGAAUCAGAUACGACGUUUGUUGGGCAAAAGAGACGGCUGCGAAAAACAUUAUUAAAAGUGCAUGGGGUGAUAAUGAGCUGGACGUUAUGGGAAAGAUUAAGAAAGUGGGCUAAGCCCUUGGUCAAUAGCAGUACAGUCGUAACAAGAAAAUGCGAAACCAAAUUGGUAUUUUAAAAGCAAAAAUCAACAAUAUCAUUGAUUGUCCUGGUAGGAUGUUCGAUGGUAGCAAGCUGAAAACUAUGCGCAUGAAACUGGGGCAGCUGUUGGACAAAGAACAAAGCUAUUGGGCGCAAAGUGGCUGAAAGAAGGAGAUGGGAAUACUCGUUUUUUCCACGUCAGGGCUACGAGUAGAAGGAAGAAAAAUAGCAUUGAAAGGCUGAAAGAUUUGAAUGGUUGCUGGAAAGUCAAAAACACUGAUAUUUGUGCUAUUGCCAGGGAGUAUUUUCACAACUUAUUUGAAUCAACUUUGUCUCCUUAUGAGGUGCUUAAUCUUGACUACAUUGAUAAUUGUAUUUCAGAUGACAUGAACGAAAGGCUGACAAAGGAGUUCACGGACAAAGAAAUAGUGGAAGCUUUCAACCAAAUGGACCCUCGGAAAGCGCCCGGAUUGACGGUCCCUCGGGGUGAUUUUAAAGGAAAAUUAGGAGGUGGUGGGAGCGGAUGUCGUUAAGCUGGACCAUGAGGUUCUUGGAGGUCACAUAAUUGUGGAUAGUCUUAAUGAAAUGAUUAUUAUUCUUAUUCAAAAAAUUAAAGAGCUAUCGACAUGUUUAACUUGAGGCCUAUAAGCUUUUGCAGGGUUAUUUAUAAAAUCAUAGCCAAAGUUCUUGCAAAUCGGUUGAAGGUGUUGAAUUACAGAGAAACUGUAGAACUUAAGUCUUUUGUAUUCAUAAAACUUCCUUGUCUUUUAUGAGUAGGCAGUACAUGCAUUUAUAGAGAAGAGAGGGAGAUUACUGUAGUACUAGGAUCUUUAACAGCUUAACUGCUUUAGCAACUACCUACUAACUGACUUUAACAAUAACUCUAACAUUCUUCUGGUUCUCUGAUCUGUUGAAGUCUGAAAGCUCCAUCUCUUGUUGUGACUUGUAAAGCGCUGCGAAGCACGACAAACUGCUUGGGAGCAAUUGGCUUAGUAAGCACAUCAGCGAUUUGAUGAGCUGACGGGACAAAGUUAACUUGUAUGGUGCCAUCUACCACUUUUUCUCUGACAAAAUGAUGAUCAAUUUCAACAUGUUUGACUCUGGCGUGGUGAGUGGGAUGCUGACACAGAGACAGUGGAGGUGUUGUCACACCAGACUAUGGGUGUCUGUUCCACAGUGAGACCAACUUCUUCUAGCAACUGCUUGAUCCCCAGCAAUUCGGAUACACAAUUUGCUAGGCUGCGAUACUCAGCUUCUGAAGACGACCUAGAAACCACUGCCUGCUUCUUUGAGCACCAGGCUAUCGGAUUCGACCCCAAGAAUAUGACAUAUCCUGUAGUUGACCGCCUGUCAUCAACUGAAGAGGCCCAGUCGGCAUCAGAAUAGCUGAUCAGUUGUAACGGACCUUGAAUUACAGAGAAAUUGUAGAACUUAAGUCUUCUAUAUUCAUAAAACUUCCUUGUCUUUUAUGAGUAGGCAGUACAUGCAUUUAUAGAGAAGAGAGGGAGAUUACUGUAGUACUAGGAUCUUUAACAGCUUAACUGCUUUAGCAACUACCUACUAACUGAC